GAUGAACGCUGGCGGCGUGCUUAACACAUGCAAGUCGAACGAUGAAGCCCAGCUUGCUGGGUGGAUUAGUGGCGAACGGGUGAGUAACACGUGAGUAACCUGCCCUUGACUCUGGGAUAAGCCUGGGAAACUGGGUCUAAUACUGGAUAUGACUUCUCAUCGCAUGGUGGGGGGUGGAAAGAUUUAUUGGUCUUGGAUGGACUCGCGGCCUAUCAGCUUGUUGGUGAGGUAAUGGCUCACCAAGGCGACGACGGGUAGCCGGCCUGAGAGGGUGACCGGCCACACUGGGACUGAGACACGGCCCAGACUCCUACGGGAGGCAGCAGUGGGGAAUAUUGCACAAUGGGCGCAAGCCUGAUGCAGCGACGCCGCGUGAGGGAUGACGGCCUUCGGGUUGUAAACCUCUUUCAGUAGGGAGGAAGCGAGAGUGACGGUACCUGCAGAAGAAGCGCCGGCUAACUACGUG
RNAcentral lists this ribosomal RNA (466 nucleotides) under uncultured bacterium. RNAcentral describes it as "partial 16S ribosomal RNA". It matches the Rfam family "Bacterial small subunit ribosomal RNA", at positions 28 to 507 of the family's 1533-position model. The record is from RNAcentral.